CCAGGCCCGACUCCCUAGGCAUGGAGCUCCGCCGUUCCAGAUCUGACGCCAAGACCUCCUUUUUCUGAAGAAUCUGUCCUCCUCCUCCAUGGUGUUGAUGGUGAAGGCCCCUCCUCCGUCGCGGUGCCGACCUCCUCCCGAUCCCCCACCAUCUAAGCUUCUUUCGGUAGCGUUUGAAACUCUCACUUCCAUCAUCCCACCUGAACCACCAGAUCCUCCAGACUCGUUAUUCGUCCUUGUUCAUCGUCUUCGGCCUUUGGCCUCGUUCUCUAGCGACUUCCAUAGCGUCUCUCUCGGAGCACUUACCCUAGCUUGGGAUUUCAAGUCUCCUCUCUCAGAUCUAGCGAUUAAUUCCAUUGGGAGUGCUGCUUCUCCUAGACCAUCGUACCUCUCCAACAAGCCUUGUGAAGGUAUUGUCUAUGUACCUCUUUGGAACAAAUCGUUUUUGAGGAAAGUUCGUUGUGAUGUCUGCCUGUUGAAACUCUAUUUACCUCAGUGUGAGGAUGUUACUCUCUCUUUAACUCUUUGGAUGAGAUCCAGUUUACCUCUGUAUGAGGAUGAUGAACUCCCUGUUAGCACUCUGCUACCUCGUUAUGAGGAUGUUCUCGUUGGUUUGAGUGGCGUUGUUACAGGGGACUUUGUGUUGAAGAAGAUAAUCUCAGAUGCAGAAACUAUGACCUCACUAGCUCUUUUUUCAGCAAUCUUUGAUACUGACCUCUUGGCCAUGAUGACCCUUGAGACUUUAAUGUCUUUCCUUUGUGAAAUUGUCUGGAACUGUCAAGAUGCAAAGGAUGUUUCUCUAGUGUUGGUGGGAUCUUCACUCCAAUUUUUGAAUAUAUGUAUAUUUUUAAUGAAUUUUUGAUAUAAAUUAAUUUUAAACUAUUAUUUUGAUUUGAAUAUGCAUAUCAAAUAAUAUAAGCUCAUUAUUGUUUUUAAAUAUAAUGUAAUAGACUUCAAAAAAUUUUAAUAGCAUAAGUCCAUUAUUUUUUUCAUAACUUACUGCUAUCCAUGUUUUCAAACAUCAUUAUAUUUAUUUUUUUACUACUAUUCAUGUUUCCAAACAAAUACUAAAGAUACUUCUACUUUAAUAAGAUGGAUGAUUAACAAGUUGUAUGCUAGAGACCAUAUGUUUGGUGGAUGGCUUUUAAACUUUUACAUUGCGAUUCAGUGGUUAUGGUUGGGUCUGGAAAGACAUGUUUGGAAAAUUUCAGCUAAUAAGUACAAGAAAUCUAUGAAGACAAGAGACCUAUUUGCAUUCCAAGUUAAAAGCACUAAUUUGGAUAAUAGAAAGUAUGCUACUUAAAAAGCUCCCAGGCCCGACUCCCUAGGCAUGGAGCUCCGCCGUUCCAGAUCUGACGCCAAGACCUCCUUUUUCUGAAGAAUCUGUCCUCCUCCUCCAUGGUGUUGAUGGUGAAGGCCCCUCCUCCGUCGCGGUGCCGACCUCCUCCCGAUCCCCCACCAUCUAAGCUUCUUUCGGUAGCGUUUGAAACUCUCACUUCCAUCAUCCCACCUGAACCACCAGAUCCUCCAGACUCGUUAUUCGUCCUUGUUCAUCGUCUUCGGCCUUUGGCCUCGUUCUCUAGCGACUUCCAUAGCGUCUCUCUCGGAGCACUUACCCUAGCUUGGGAUUUCAAGUCUCCUCUCUCAGAUCUAGCGAUUAAUUCCAUUGGGAGUGCUGCUUCUCCUAGACCAUCGUACCUCUCCAACAAGCCUUGUGAAGGUAUUGUCUAUGUACCUCUUUGGAACAAAUCGUUUUUGAGGAAAGUUCGUUGUGAUGUCUGCCUGUUGAAACUCUAUUUACCUCAGUGUGAGGAUGUUACUCUCUCUUUAACUCUUUGGAUGAGAUCCAGUUUACCUCUGUAUGAGGAUGAUGAACUCCCUGUUAGCACUCUGCUACCUCGUUAUGAGGAUGUUCUCGUUGGUUUGAGUGGCGUUGUUACAGGGGACUUUGUGUUGAAGAAGAUAAUCUCAGAUGCAGAAACUAUGACCUCACUAGCUCUUUUUUCAGCAAUCUUUGAUACUGACCUCUUGGCCAUGAUGACCCUUGAGACUUUAAUGUCUUUCCUUUGUGAAAUUGUCUGGAACUGUCAAGAUGCAAAGGAUGUUUCUCUAGUGUUGGUGGGAUCUUCACUCAUGGUUGGAGCUUUG
Molecule: long non-coding RNA, 2148 nt
Filed under: Brassica napus (rape)
Lineage: Eukaryota; Viridiplantae; Streptophyta; Magnoliopsida; Brassicales; Brassicaceae
Description: long non-coding RNA (BNAP_LNC002308)
Source: RNAcentral